Molecule: ribosomal RNA, 253 nt
Filed under: uncultured bacterium
Lineage: Bacteria
Description: partial 16S ribosomal RNA
Rfam family: Bacterial small subunit ribosomal RNA
Source: RNAcentral
UACGUAGGGAGCGAGCGUUGUCCGGAUUUAUUGGGCGUAAAGAGCGUGUAGGCGGCCAGGUAGGUCAGCUGUGAAAACUCGAGGCUCAACCUCGAGCUGUCGGCUGAAACCAUCUGGCUAGAGUCCGGAAGAGGAGAAUGGAAUUCCCGGUGUAGCGGUGAAAUGCGCAGAUAUCGGGAAGAACACCCGUGGCGAAGGCGGUUCUCUGGGACGGUACUGACGCUGAGACGCGAAAGCGUGGGGAGCGAACAGG